This 448-nucleotide ribosomal RNA is filed under the name uncultured bacterium. Its description in RNAcentral is "bacterial SSU rRNA". It matches the Rfam family "Bacterial small subunit ribosomal RNA", at positions 330 to 795 of the family's 1533-position model. The record is from RNAcentral.
ACCAGACUCCUACGGGAGGCAGCAGUGGGGGAUAUUGCACAAUGGGGGGAACCCUGAUGCAGCGACGCCGCGUGGGUGAAGAAGCGCCUCGGCGCGUAAAGCCCUGUCAGCAGGGAAGAAAAUGACGGUACCUGAAGAAGAAGCCCCGGCUAACUACGUGCCAGCAGCCGCGGUAAUACGUAGGGGGCAAGCGUUAUCCGGAUUUACUGGGUGUAAAGGGGGCGCAGACGGCGAUGCAAGCCAGGAGUGAAAGCCCGGGGCCCAACCCCGGGACUGCUCUUGGAACUGCGUGGCUGGAGUGCAGGAGGGGCAGGCGGAAUUCCUGGUGUAGCGGUGAAAUGCGUAGAUAUCAGGAGGAACACCGGUGGCGAAGGCGGCCUGCUGGACUGCAACUGACGUUGAGGCCCGAAAGCGUGGGGAGCAAACAGGAUUAGAUACCCCAGUAGUU